AGUGAACGCUGGCGGUAGGCCUAACACAUGCAAGUCGAACGGCAGCACAGUAAGAGCUUGCUCUUACGGGUGGCGAGUGGCGGACGGGUGAGGAAUACAUCGGAAUCUACUUUUUCGUGGGGGAUAACGUAGGGAAACUUACGCUAAUACCGCAUACGACCUACGGGUGAAAGCAGGGGAUCUUCGGACCUUGCGCGAUUGAAUGAGCCGAUGUCGGAUUAGCUAGUUGGCGGGGUAAAGGCCCACCAAGGCGACGAUCCGUAGCUGGUCUGAGAGGAUGAUCAGCCACACUGGAACUGAGACACGGUCCAGACUCCUACGGGAGGCAGCAGUGGGGAAUAUUGGACAAUGGGCGCAAGCCUGAUCCAGCCAUACCGCGUGGGUCAAGAAGGCCUUCGGGUUGUAAAGCCCUUUUGUUGGGAAAGAAAAGCAGCAGGUUAAUACCCCGCUGUUCUGACGGUACCCAAAGAAUAAGCACCGGCUAACUUCGU
This 491-nucleotide ribosomal RNA is filed under the name uncultured bacterium. RNAcentral's name for it is "partial 16S ribosomal RNA". It matches the Rfam family "Bacterial small subunit ribosomal RNA", at positions 29 to 506 of the family's 1533-position model. The record is from RNAcentral.